CAGUAGCCACGUAAUACGGAGGGUGCAAGCGUUAUCCGGAUUUAUUGGGUUUAAAGGGUCCGUAGGCGGAUCUGUAAGUCAGUGGUGAAAUCUCACAGCUUAACUGUGAAACUGCCAUUGAUACUGCAGGUCUUGAGUAAAUUUGAAGUGGCUGGAAUAAGUAGUGUAGCGGUGAAAUGCAUAGAUAUUACUUAGAACACCAAUUGCGAAGGCAGGUCACUAAGAUUUAACUGACGCUGAUGGACGAAAGCGUGGGGAGCGAACAGGAUUAGAUACCCGCGUAGUCCCUGUCUCUUAUACA
RNAcentral lists this ribosomal RNA (301 nucleotides) under uncultured bacterium. RNAcentral's name for it is "partial 16S ribosomal RNA". It matches the Rfam family "Bacterial small subunit ribosomal RNA", at positions 509 to 808 of the family's 1533-position model. The record is from RNAcentral.